RNAcentral lists this ribosomal RNA (422 nucleotides) under uncultured bacterium. Its description in RNAcentral is "bacterial SSU rRNA". It matches the Rfam family "Bacterial small subunit ribosomal RNA", at positions 355 to 774 of the family's 1533-position model. The record is from RNAcentral.
UAAGGAAUAUUGGACAAUGGUCGCAAGACUGAUCCAGCCAUGCCGCGUGCAGGAAGACGGCCCUAUGGGUUGUAAACUGCUUUUGUACCAGAGAAAACCUAUCUACGUGUAGAUAGCUGAUAGUAUGGUAAGAAUAAGCAUCGGCUAACUUCGUGCCAGCAGCCGCGGUAAGACGAAGGAUGCAAGCGUUAUCCGGAUUCAUUGGGUUUAAAGGGUGCGUAGGUGGGCAGGUAAGUCAGUGGUGAAAUCUCCGGGCUUAACCCGGAAACUGCCGUUGAUUCUAUUUGGCUUGAAUAUUGUGGAGGUAAGCGGAAUAUGUCAUGUAGCGGUGAAAUGCUUAGAUAUGACAUAGAACACCAAUUGCGAAGGCAGCUUACUACACAAUCAUUGACGCUGAGGCACGAAAGCGUGGGGAUCAAACA